UUUCAGAGCCGCGGUGGCUGCUGAGGUCACUUGUCUGAAAUAGGUGAAUCCCUGUCAGAAGGGACAUACAAGGUUCUCACCCCACAGAGCUUUUCUGAGAAGGUUUAAGCACAUGGGAUUCUUGGCCCCCUGUGAAGCGGCACUAAGCUUGGACUACCUGCUCCUCCUUCAGCUCUGUUCUGCCUCUUGUCAACUUCUAGAAGAGGAGCCAUUCAAAGGAAGACAAGGAAUAAACACAGGGGAAUGACCUUGCCAGGUUUCGAGGCCAAAUGGUCAACCUGGAAGUCCCUAAGGAGAAUACAGGAGCCUUCACAAGAGUAAUGGCAACGGUUUCCUAACCUCUGCCAAUGAAAAUCCCACCGAUGAAGGCGGGGCAGUGCUGCUGUGUCAGGGAUGAGAAGCAAUGCCUGUGGCUGUGGAAAGGAAUGACAGGCCCCCCCAUCCUGCCCCGCACUCACGGCUGGGGACCCCUCCGAGGAGCUCUGCUGUAAAAGGAGACCCACAUUUAAGAAUGCACGGUUGUGCAGAAACGUGACAUUUUACUGUCAUCGUGUGCCAUGGUUUGAUCUUUUGUUCAGACAAAUGACCGAGAAUUCUGAAAUACAACAAAAUUCUGCAGCCCUUUUCAGAGGCGUACCAGAGUGCUAACAGACAGGCAUUCCCAAGGACUAUUUGAUUUUCUAAAGAGCGUCCUUUUCUCUGUUUAGUAAUGAUGGUUAAUUAGUCCGCAAACUGUGAAGUACAUGUUAAAGAUUUUUCUUUGGUAAACUUGUAAAUGCUAUAUGUUCAUUUGAAAAAAGAACCCCAAAAUUCUAGUACUGAUUGCCACAUUGGAAAUUAUUUGCUUACAACUCAGCAAAUGGAUUUCAUUUUGCCUUCCCCAGUGGACUAAAUACCUGAUAGUCUCUGAACCCAUUUGUUACCUUGCAGGUUCCCUCACUGGUGGGUUAAGUAAGUGUUUGGCAUGCGUCCAUUCUACAUUUACAUGAAGGUCGUAUUUUCAAACUCUUUGAAAAGCAGACUUGGAUGGCACACUGGCCGGGUUCCUUUGGUUAGUGUGCAGAAUAGAACAGGCCUGGUUGCUGCCUUCUGAAAGCCUGCUUGGAAGGGUGGGAACUUGGUUUCAGGAGGGUCUCCACCAACCUAACAGAUAAGAGUGGCUCCUGAUGCCUAAACCGUUUGUGUCAACAGCACGGUUUACACCGCACACCUGCUUUCUUUCCAGGAGUCCAGGGUUUUGGUAAGGGCUGGGCACAGGGUGCCUUCGUGACCACACCACGGUAACGGCCACGGGCACUGAGUCCCUGUGGAGGCUCCCUGCGGACUACAUUUCACAUAUGGUCACAGACUGUCACUGGGGAAAGUCCCCUGCAGGGAGAAGUCUUAGAAACUCAGGUCUAGUUUCCAAUGGACUUUGUCCUGUGAGCCUUUUCCUGUAGUUAAUCAUAACCGAAUACGCAAGCACAACUAUAUGGUGAGUCCUAGCAAGUCAAUAAAUCUGGAAAAGGGCUUCAAGACACCCAGACAGAGUUAGCGACAGGCCUUUUUACAUGCACUCUUUUUUACAAAACAAUUCUAAAUUGUUCUUUAAAAAAUUUUUUUGACUAGAUCCGGGUUGAUGUCCAGCAAGGCGUAGAUUUCAUGGAGGAAGAAUAGUCCUCCCCAGGUCACUCAAAUGAAAACCUUCCAUCUGUUCCCUAAAACCCAGACAUUUGAAAUCAACUCACUUGUGUCCUGAUACGAUCCGUCA
Molecule: long non-coding RNA, 1750 nt
Organism: Artibeus jamaicensis (Jamaican fruit-eating bat)
Lineage: Eukaryota; Metazoa; Chordata; Mammalia; Chiroptera; Phyllostomidae
Exons: 5
Source: RefSeq, a predicted model, not a curated record